This 447-nucleotide ribosomal RNA is filed under the name uncultured bacterium. Its description in RNAcentral is "bacterial SSU rRNA". It matches the Rfam family "Bacterial small subunit ribosomal RNA", at positions 331 to 792 of the family's 1533-position model. The record is from RNAcentral.
CCAGACUCCUACGGGAGGCAGCAGUGGGGAAUAUUGGGCAAUGGGCGCAAGCCUGACCCAGCGACGCCGCGUGAAGGAAGAAGGCUUUCGGGUUGUAAACUUCUUUUCUGGGGGACGAAGAAAGUGACGGUACCUGUCGAAUAAGCCACGGCUAACUACGUGCCAGCAGCCGCGGUAAUACGUAGGUGGCAAGCGUUGUCCGGAUUUACUGGGUGUAAAGGGCGUGUAGCCGGGCUUACAAGUCAGAUGUGAAAUCCGGGGGCUCAACCCCCGAACUGCAUUUGAAACUGUAGGUCUUGAGUAUCGGAGAGGCAGGCGGAAUUCCUAGUGUAGCGGUGAAAUGCGUAGAUAUCAGGAGGAACACCGGUGGCGAAGGCGGCCUGCUGGACUGCAACUGACGUUGAGGCCCGAAAGCGUGGGGAGCAAACAGGAUUAGAUACCCCAGUA